This 461-nucleotide ribosomal RNA is filed under the name uncultured bacterium. RNAcentral's name for it is "partial 16S ribosomal RNA". It matches the Rfam family "Bacterial small subunit ribosomal RNA", at positions 338 to 795 of the family's 1533-position model. The record is from RNAcentral.
CCUACGGGAGGCUGCAGUGAGGAAUAUUGGUCAAUGGGCGCGAGCCUGAACCAGCCAAGUAGCGUGAAGGAUGACUGCCCUACGGGUUGUAAACUUCUUUUAUAAAGGAGUUAAGUGAGGCACGUGUGCCUUUUUGUAUGUAUUUUAUGAAUACGGAUCGGCUAACUCCUUGCCAGCAGCCGCGGUAAUACGGAUGAUCCGAGCGUUAUCCGGAUUUAUUGGGUUUGAAGGGAGCGUAGAUGGGUAUUUAAGUCAGUUCGGAAAGUUUGCGGCUCAACCGUAAAAUUGCAAUUGAUACUGGUAGAUGUGAGUACAGUUGAGGGAGGCGGAAUUCGUGGGGUAGCGGUGAAAUGCUUAGAUAUCAAGAAGAACUCCGAUUGCGAAGGCAGCCUACUAAACUGGCAAUGACAGUGAUGCUCGAAAGUGGGGGUAUCAAAAAGGAUUAGAUAACCCGAGUAGUC